UACGGAAGGCAGCAGUGGGGAAUAUUGCACAAUGGGCGAAAGCCUGAUGCAGCUAUGCCGCGUGUAUGAAGAAGGCCUUAGGGUUGUAAAGUACUUUCAUCGGGGAGGAAAAAACAAAACUAAUAAUUUUAUUUCUUGACGUUACCCGAAAAAGAAGCACCGGCUAACUCCGUGCCAGCAGCCGCGGUAAUACGGAGGGUGCUAGCGUUAAUCAGAAUUACUGGGCGUAAAGAGCACGUAGGUGGUUUUUUUAAGUCAGAUGUGAAUCCCUGGGCUUAACCUAGGAACUGCAUUUUGAAACUGAAAUACUAGAGUAUCGUAGAGGGAGGUAGAAUUCUAGGUGUAGCGGUGAAAUGCGUAGAUAUCUGGAGGAAUACCUGUGGCGAAAGCGGCCUCCUAAACGAAUACUGACACUGAGGUGCGAAAAGCGUGGGGAGCAAACAGGGAUUAGAUACC
RNAcentral lists this ribosomal RNA (456 nucleotides) under uncultured bacterium. Its description in RNAcentral is "bacterial SSU rRNA". It matches the Rfam family "Bacterial small subunit ribosomal RNA", at positions 340 to 786 of the family's 1533-position model. The record is from RNAcentral.